RNAcentral lists this transfer RNA (52 nucleotides) under Gila orcuttii (arroyo chub). RNAcentral describes it as "tRNA-Val". Lineage: Eukaryota; Metazoa; Chordata; Actinopteri; Cypriniformes; Leuciscidae. The record is from RNAcentral.
UCAGGGUGUGGCUGAGUAGUUAAGCAUCUCACUUACACCGAGAAGACACCCA